GAUGAACGCUGGCGGCGUGCUUAACACAUGCAAGUCGAACGGAGAAAGGGUAGCUUGCUAUCUUUCUUAGUGGCGGACGGGUGAGUAACGCGUGGGUAACCUGCCCUUUGCAGGGGGAUAACAGUGAGAAAUCACUGCUAAAUACCGCAUACCAACUUCUUUCGCAUGAAAGAAGUUUGAAAGAUUUAUCGGCAAAGGAUGGACCCGCGUUGGAUUAGCUAGUUGGUGAGAUAACAGCCCACCAAGGCAACGAUCCAUAGCCGGCCUGAGAGGGUGAACGGCCACACUGGGACUGAGACACGGCCCAGACUCCUACGGGAGGCAGCAGUGGGGAAUAUUGCACAAUGGGCGAAAGCCUGAUGCAGCGACGCCGCGUGAAGGAAGAAGGUCUUCGGAUUGUAAACUCCUGUCUUCUGGGACGAAUAAUGACGGUACCAGAGGAGGAAGCCACGGCUAACUACGUG
Molecule: ribosomal RNA, 464 nt
Filed under: uncultured bacterium
Lineage: Bacteria
Description: bacterial SSU rRNA
Rfam family: Bacterial small subunit ribosomal RNA
Source: RNAcentral